Molecule: ribosomal RNA, 675 nt
Filed under: uncultured marine bacterium
Lineage: Bacteria
Description: bacterial SSU rRNA
Rfam family: Bacterial small subunit ribosomal RNA
Source: RNAcentral
AGAGUUUGNNNCUGGCUCAGGACGAACGCUGGCGGUGCGCCUUAUGCAUGCAAGUCGAGCGAAGCUUUUCAGUAGUUUACUACAGAAAAUGACUGAGCGGCGAACGGGUGAGUAACGCGUGAGCAAUCUACCUUAGUUACAGGGAUAGCCCGAGGAAACUCGGAUUAAUACCUGAUAUUCUUUAUUUCUCGCAUGAGAAUAAAAGGAAAGGUCAGCCGAACUAAGAUGAGCUCGCGUUCUAUCAGCUAGUUGGUGAGGUAAAAGCUUACCNAGGCUACGACGGAUAGCUGGUCUGAGAGGACGAUCAGCCACACUGGGACUGAGACACGGCCCAGACUCCUACGGGAGGCUGCAGCAGGGAAUAUUGUGCAAUGAACGAAAGUUUGACACAGCGACACCGCGUGUGGGAUGACGGAUCUAGGUUUGUAAACCACUUUCAGGAGGGAAGAAAAUGACGGUACCUCCACAAGAAGCCCCGGCCAACUACGUGCCAGCAGCCGCGGUAAUACGUAGGGGGCGAGCGUUGUCCGGAUUUAUUGGGCGUAAAGAGCUCGUAGGCGGUUCAACAAGUCGGUCGUGAAAGUUCAGGGCUCAACCCUGAAAAUGUCGAUCGAUACUGUUGUGACUAGGAUACGGUAGAGGUGAGUGGAAUUCCGAGUGUAGCGGUGAAAUGCG